CUACCGUCUGUAAGCUGUUAGUGUCUUAACGACCGUUCCACAGGUGCAUGUUCAUUAAUUGUUUAUGGUUCAUUGAACAAGCAUGGGAAACAGCGUUUAAACCCUUUACAGUGAAGAUCUCUGAAGUUAUUUGGAUUUUUUCCGAAUUAUCUUUGAAAGACAGGGUCCUGAAAAAGGACCGUUUUCUUUUUUUCGUGAGUUUAGCUAGCCAGAUCCAGGACAGGUGUUACCGAGGCGUAAUGCUCCUGUACAACUCCUCAGGGACAAACGGAGGUUCUGGGUAUAUCUGGACAUAUACAUGCUACACACACACACACUCGCCCAGAGCAAGAGGACCAAGAGCCCGGAUCCAGCACCAGUGCAAAACCAUGCCUCGUCUUUGUGUCUCAAUGCUGCUCUGGGUCGUCCUGCUGGGUCUCCUCUCUCUAAUAGGUAAGUCAGCCUGUUAUAGCACUCUACAGAGCGGAGAGCCUCCGAGCCUGUGCCAUUUUCAUUUUCAGUGAUAAUGGAAGGCACCCAAUCCAAAAUCUCUUCAAUGGCAUUUUAUCCUAUUUUGCGCAUAAGGGUAGUAUUGGAUUGCGAUGUGUACUUGGAUAAAACUCAAGUCUGAAGUGGUGGUGGCGGCCUCCUUUCUUCAAUUAAUCUCUCCAAUAUCUCUGUGGGCCUGAUGUG
Molecule: long non-coding RNA, 672 nt
Filed under: Oncorhynchus kisutch (coho salmon)
Lineage: Eukaryota; Metazoa; Chordata; Actinopteri; Salmoniformes; Salmonidae
Description: lncRNA (ENSOKIG00005031423.1)
Source: RNAcentral